Molecule: ribosomal RNA, 454 nt
Filed under: uncultured bacterium
Lineage: Bacteria
Description: bacterial SSU rRNA
Rfam family: Bacterial small subunit ribosomal RNA
Source: RNAcentral
UACGGAAGGCAGCAGUGGGGAAUAUUGCACAAUGGGCGAAAGCCUGAUGCAGCUAUGCCGCGUGUAUGAAGAAGGCCUUAGGGUUGUAAAGUACUUUCAUCGGGGAGGAAAAACAAAACUAAUAAUUUUAUUUCUUGACGUUACCCGAAAAAGAAGCACCGGCUAACUCCGUGCCAGCAGCCGCGGUAAUACGGAGGGUGCUAGCGUUAAUCAGAAUUACUGGGCGUAAAGAGCACGUAGGUGGUUUUUUUAAGUUCAGAUGUGAAUCCCUGGGCUUAACCUGGAACUGCAUUUUGAAACUGAAAUACUAGAGUAUCGUAGAGGGAGGUAGAAUUCUAGGUGUAGCGGUGAAAUGCGUAGAUAUCUGGAGGAAUACCUGUGGCGAAAGCGGCCUCCUAAACGAAUACUGACACUGAGGUGCGAAAGCGUGGGGAGCAAACAGGGAUUAGAUACC